RNAcentral lists this ribosomal RNA (497 nucleotides) under uncultured bacterium. RNAcentral describes it as "partial 16S ribosomal RNA". It matches the Rfam family "Bacterial small subunit ribosomal RNA", at positions 28 to 507 of the family's 1533-position model. The record is from RNAcentral.
GAUGAACGCUGGCGGCGUGCCUAAUACAUGCAAGUAGAACGCUGAAGCUUGGUGCUUGCACCGAGCGGAUGAGUUGCGAACGGGUGAGUAACGCGUAGGUAACCUGCCUCUUAGCGGGGGAUAACUAUUGGAAACGAUAGCUAAUACCGCAUAAAAGUCGAUAUCGCAUGAUAUUGAUUUGAAAGGUGCAAAUGCAUCACUAAGAGAUGGACCUGCGUUGUAUUAGCUAGUUGGUGAGGUAACGGCUCACCAAGGCGACGAUACAUAGCCGACCUGAGAGGGUGAUCGGCCACACUGGGACUGAGACACGGCCCAGACUCCUACGGGAGGCAGCAGUAGGGAAUCUUCGGCAAUGGGGGCAACCCUGACCGAGCAACGCCGCGUGAGUGAAGAAGGUUUUCGGGUCGUAAAGCUCUGUUGUAAGAGAAGAACGAGUGUGAGAGUGGAAAGUUCACACUGUGACGGUAACUUACCAGAAAGAGACGGCUAACUACGUG